CUCCGGUUGAUCUUGCCGGACCCGACUGCUAUCGGAUUGAGAUUUGACCAUGUGAGUCGAACGUCCCCCUGUUGCGGGGGGCGUGGCGUACGGCUCAGUAACACGUAGUCAACCUGCCCUGGAGACAAGGACAACCCCGGGAAACUGGGAUUAAUCCUUGAUAGGUCAUCUCAUCUGGAAGGAGAGAUGGCUUAAAGGGGUACGCGGGCUUCUUCCGCGAAUCUGCUCCAGGAUGGGACUGCGUCCGAUCAGGCUGUUGGCGGGGUAAUGGCCCACCAAACCUGUAACCGGUACGGGCCUUGAGAGAGGUGGCCCGGAGAUGGACACUGAGAGAAGGGUCCAGGUCCUACGGGGCGCAGCAGGCGCGAAACCUUCGCAAUGCGCGAAAGCGUGACGAGGUUAAUCCGAGUGACUCCCGCUGAGGGGGUCUUUUGUCAGCUGUAAAUAGGCAGGCGAAUAAGGGGAGGGCAAGCCUGGUGUCAGCCGCCGCGGUAAUACCAGCUCCUCGAGUGGUCGGGGCGAUUAUUGGGCCUAAAGCAUCCGUAGCCGGUUCCGUAGGUCCUCUGUUAAAUCCAACCGCUUAACGGUUGACCUGCAGAGGAUACCGCGGGACUAGGAGGCGGGAGAGGCGGACGGUACUCCGCGUGUAGGGGUAAAAUCCUUUGAUCCGCGGAAGACCACCAGUGGCGAAGGCGGUCCGCCAGAACGCGCUCGACGGUGAGGGAUGAAAGCUGGGGGAGCGAACCGGAUUAGAUACCCGGGUAGUCCCAGCCGUAAACGAUGCUAGCUAGAUGAUUCAUUCGCAAGUCGCGAAUGAAGUGUCGCAGGGAAGCCCGUUAAGCUAGCCAAAAGGGGCGUACGGUCGCAAGACUGAAACUUAAACGCCUAAAAAGG
RNAcentral lists this ribosomal RNA (894 nucleotides) under uncultured archaeon. RNAcentral describes it as "bacterial SSU rRNA". It matches the Rfam family "Archaeal small subunit ribosomal RNA", at positions 1 to 872 of the family's 1478-position model. The record is from RNAcentral.